RNAcentral lists this ribosomal RNA (253 nucleotides) under uncultured bacterium. Its description in RNAcentral is "partial 16S ribosomal RNA". It matches the Rfam family "Bacterial small subunit ribosomal RNA", at positions 524 to 776 of the family's 1533-position model. The record is from RNAcentral.
UACGAGGGGUGCAAGCGUUGCUCGGAAUUAUUGGGCGUAAAGGGUAGGUAGGUGGUCUCAUUUGUCCGGGGUGAAAGCCUUGAGCUUAACUCAAGAAGUGCCCCGGAAACGGUGAGACUCGAGUACUGGAGAGGGUCGUGGAAUUCCCGGUGUAGCGGUGAAAUGCGUAGAGAUCGGGAGGAACACCAAUUGCGAAGGCAGCUCGCUGGGACGUUACUGACGCUGAGACGCGAAAGCGUGGGGAGCAAACAGG